GGAGGAUUGGCCGAGUGGUAAGGCACCGGCUUGGGCUCAAGCCGUGGUCGGGUGAGAGCCCGCGCACGUUCGAUCCGUGCAUCCUCCG
This 88-nucleotide transfer RNA is filed under the name Streptomyces pseudogriseolus. RNAcentral describes it as "tRNA-OTHER". It matches the Rfam family "tRNA". Rfam says of the family: Transfer RNA (tRNA) molecules are approximately 80 nucleotides in length. Their secondary structure includes four short double-helical elements and three loops (D, anti-codon, and T loops). The record is from RNAcentral. RNAcentral also lists the same sequence under 3 other names. Lineage: Bacteria; Bacillati; Actinomycetota; Actinomycetes; Kitasatosporales; Streptomycetaceae.